GGCUGGUACGAGUGCGUGGUGUUUACAACUAAUUGAUCACAACCAGUUACAGAUUUCUUUGUUCCUUCUCCACUUCCACUGCUUCACUUGACUAGUCAAAA
Y RNA from Callithrix jacchus (white-tufted-ear marmoset), 101 nucleotides. It matches the Rfam family "Y RNA". Rfam says of the family: Y RNAs are components of the Ro ribonucleoprotein particle (Ro RNP), in association with Ro60 and La proteins. The Y RNAs and Ro60 and La proteins are well conserved, but the function of the Ro RNP is not known. Lineage: Eukaryota; Metazoa; Chordata; Mammalia; Primates; Cebidae. The record is from Ensembl.